RNAcentral lists this ribosomal RNA (402 nucleotides) under uncultured bacterium. RNAcentral describes it as "bacterial SSU rRNA". It matches the Rfam family "Bacterial small subunit ribosomal RNA", at positions 355 to 774 of the family's 1533-position model. The record is from RNAcentral.
UGGGGAAUCUUGCACAAUGGGGGCAACCCUGAUGCAGCGACGCCGCGUGAGCGAUGAAGCCCUUCGGGGCGUAAAGCUCUUUCGACCGGAACGAUAAUGACGGUACCGGGAGAAGAAGCUGCGGCUAACUACGUGCCAGCAGCCGCGGUAAUACGUAGGCAGCAAGCGUUGUUCGGAGUUACUGGGCGUAAAGAGUGCGUAGGCGGUUUUCUAAGUUCGGUGUGAAAUCUCCCGGCUUAACUGGGAGGGUGCGCCGAAGACUGGGAAGCUGGAGUGUGGGAAAGGCGGGCGGAAUUCCUGGUGUCGCGGUGAAAUGCGUAGAUAUCAGGAGGAACACCGGCGGUGUAGACGGCUUGCUAGACCAUAACUGACGCUGAGGCACGAAAGCGUGGGUAGCAAACA